CACUGGCAGCGCACAUGAACUAGGUAUAAAGGGCAACCUCCAUGGAGCGAAUUUUUGCAACGAAGUUCGCGCGUCAGACUGCCACGCGCAUUCCGACGCCAGUUGUUCGCCGGCACCAGCUCCAUGGAGCGAAAAACCAGCGGACGGCGUCGGGAAGUCAUGCUGUGAUGUCACUGUUGCCAGGGUAUAAGGGAAUGCCUCACGUUCUAAUGAUGCAGUUGGCGAAACAGCGAGCAGACGACAGCAUCCAGUUGCAAGAAGAGGACGAUGACGAUGAUUCACGAGAGCAGACGACCACGUGCAGGCGAUCUGGCGUAGAUCGUAGCGGAAGAGCACUUUGAUUGGUUCAUCUGCAGUUGACGCUUCCGGAAUCGCGGACGCUGGGCGAAAAUAUCUGGCAUGGGCAGAUCGGCGGCGGACGCUCACAUUUUUGACGCCUCGCGCAGGGCGUCCGACGCUGAGCGAAGUUCGCAGCUUUUUCGCUGUACAUUCGCUCCAUGGAGGUUGCCCUUAACGUGACAGCCGACACGUCAGGGUGUCACGUGGCUUUAGCACAAAUACUUGGCGGCAGAUUAAAUAGUUCAAUAUCCAGACAAGCAGGCUGCUUUCAAAAAAACGUUUACUCCGAAAAUAACUACACACGUGAAUACUAAGCGUGUUGUCGUAGCUCAACGAGAACUCGCAUGGUGUGCGGCAAUCGCGUGCUGUCCAAUGUCACUUGCCCGGCUUCAGGCGUGCUUUGGAUAGGCCGCUCAGCACACCACUCAUUCUAGUCCACUGUACUUGAACCCUUGGAUUAUGUCACGGAAAUGUUUUCUUUCCAGGCUAUGGGCGACAGACGCCGCCGUAUCACUGAGAGAUAGCGAUAACGCACGUGAGAGCCUCGCAAAGUGGGUUGACGCCGACAGCUCGUUUUCUUUUUCUUUUGGUUUCGUCAAUGAUUCUUCUUUCCCAUUCUUCAGCUAACCAAGUCUUCCGUACCUCCGAACCACGAAACGUGUCCUGGGAAUUAAGGCCAGUGGGCUGACACCCUACUAACUGCUCCACCGAUGCCGCAAAUGAUAGAGUCUAGGAGGACGGCAGAGUGUCCCGACGUCGUCAGCGAUGUUUGAAAAGCGCGCGCUCAAGAGAAGGCGGAGAGGAUAAAGAAACACGAGGAGGAGCAGGUGGAAGAGAAGGAAGUGGAGAGUCACGUGGGGUAGGCAAAUAGCCAGCAGUGUCUCCGUCUCGUGUCUCUUUCAUAGUUGUCCCGUGCUCUCGUGCUCUGCUCUGAGCUGAUGUAGGCUCAUGUGUGCCGUCCAUUGAGGAAAGCGAAAGUGAGGAAGACAACCGAUUGUACAGCAUCACUUACGACCAAGUACCAUGUCUUCAGAAGUGGGAAGCACUGAGCGUGAACACGUAUCGACAACCUACAGCUUCACGGACUUCCGUAAGAUGAAUACGUGGAAGCACACGUGGCACAUCAGAAGCUACGCUCAUCAAAAGCAGGACAUUGGAGACCGAUAUAUUGAGAGCCCCGAGUUCCCGCCGGAUGAUGAUAGCCCAUAUAAGUGGUGUAUUAGGUACUAUCCAAGGGUAAAAACGGUUUGCGGACAGCAAUAUGUGCACAUCUACUUAAUUCUGAGGCGCACGCCUCCAGAUGUGACAUGUGUAAAAGCGAUAUUCAGGUUUUUGCUUCAGACUGGAUAUGGCCCGUUGCACGACUUGGAAUGCAACGCUAGAAUUGAAGAUUUCAGAAUUGAUAACACAGUGUGUUGCAGUCUUUACUUGCAGCACUCGUUCGAGGUAAAGAACGACGCACUCACUGUGAUUUGCGAAGUCUCCCGCGUAUGUAAUGUCACCGAGUUUUGCGAUGCAUGAGUUAGCGUGGAUGCUCAUAGGAAAGUUAGUCAUCUGGAGGUGGGCUGCAUGACUCGACUCACGCAGAAAUAGUCAGCCGCGAUCUGUGGUUCACUAAUAGAGACUUUGUGGGAGGUUAGCACGUUCUUUAUCUGUGUUACUACUGUGUUUGUUCUGGUGCGUAUUCAUAUGCCUGGACAUUUCUAAGUUCCAUGCGAGUGGAUUCGCGUGAGGAAGGUUACAUCAUGUGUCUCUGGUCCAGCGGCAGAAACGCAGUGCGAGGCUAGCAUGUUUUAUGUUCCAGCUGUUGUAUCCCUAUUUCUUCAUUACUGUUUUUGUAGUAUUCGCCCAAUAAAGGCAUCGCUUUCUGUCA
Molecule: long non-coding RNA, 2212 nt
Organism: Ornithodoros turicata
Lineage: Eukaryota; Metazoa; Arthropoda; Arachnida; Ixodida; Argasidae
Exons: 2
Source: RefSeq, a predicted model, not a curated record